UACGGAGGGGGCUAGCGUUGUUCGGAAUUACUGGGCGUAAAGCGCACGUAGGCGGCGAUUUAAGUCAGAGGUGAAAGCCCGGGGCUCAACCCCGGAACUGCCUUUGAGACUGGAUUGCUAGAAUCUUGGAGAGGCGGGUGGAAUUCCGAGUGUAGAGGUGAAAUUCGUAGAUAUUCGGAAGAACACCAGUGGCGGAGGCGGCCCGCUGGACAAGUAUUGACGCUGAGGUGCGAAAGCGUGGGGAGCAAACAGG
This 253-nucleotide ribosomal RNA is filed under the name uncultured bacterium. Its description in RNAcentral is "partial 16S ribosomal RNA". It matches the Rfam family "Bacterial small subunit ribosomal RNA", at positions 524 to 776 of the family's 1533-position model. The record is from RNAcentral.